RNAcentral lists this microRNA precursor (102 nucleotides) under Manduca sexta (tobacco hornworm). RNAcentral describes it as "microRNA mse-mir-2797b precursor". The stretch from base 23 to 99 matches the Rfam family "mir-2797 microRNA precursor family". The record is from miRBase by way of RNAcentral. Lineage: Eukaryota; Metazoa; Arthropoda; Insecta; Lepidoptera; Sphingidae.
ACAUGAAGAGCAAGCCAAAUUUUGUUGAUGAUAUAAGUAGAUACUUCUAGGCUUUGUUUUUUAUUAAAGCCUAAAAAUGUCUACUAGUAUUAUUGGUAAAAC